Molecule: long non-coding RNA, 327 nt
Organism: Betta splendens (Siamese fighting fish)
Lineage: Eukaryota; Metazoa; Chordata; Actinopteri; Anabantiformes; Osphronemidae
Exons: 3
Source: RefSeq, a predicted model, not a curated record
AGCCUCUGAUAAUUAUGAAAACUCUUACUGCUGGUACGUACAUGAGACCUGAAGUCCUAUGAGUCAGCAACAAAGAUUUGAGAUUCGCCUACAGACCCUGUCACCCGAGACGAGCGGCCUCCGGCCUUUCCCUGCUCUGCUGCCUCCGAACUCUGCUCCUCUGAGCACACAAUGUUCUGGGACACCUGUUCAAGUGUUGCUCAUUGUAAGUGAUGCUCCGACUCACUGGAGGAUGAGACAGGAGAGAGGCUCAACCAGCAGAGGUCAGCAGACGUUUUCAAAUCAAAACGUCAUUUUACUCCUUUUUUAAAAUUACUUACAUUCACC